This 918-nucleotide long non-coding RNA is filed under the name Homo sapiens (human). Its description in RNAcentral is "HSALNT0116365". The record is from RNAcentral. Lineage: Eukaryota; Metazoa; Chordata; Mammalia; Primates; Hominidae.
GUUACCUUUUAUUCUGAUGAUUGUUAACGGAAUAAUUCUGCGGUGGGGAUCUUUUCAGUGUGUGACCCUGGUGAAUAGCAAAGCCCUGUUCGAAUUUUCCUUCUGUGUGUUGUUCAUAAUUCAAGUGACAAUGAGAAACUCUGGUCUCAGUGGGAUGGAAAUAGAGCCUGGAAGAAAUGGGAAACUUUAAUAUCUGGAUGGAUUCCUUAAACAGGUAACAGAAACUAUAGCCUGAAAGCCAAACUGAUUUUGAUUGACAAGAACCGGACUUUAAGGGGGAAAUAAUAAAAUACAUUCUUAGGGACUAAAGAAGAUGGGGCUUGACUAUGAAGAACUAAGCUUAGAACACUAUGCACGAGAUUUGUACCAAACACAUUAAAGGAAAAAGAAAAUCUAGACGACAUCAUAAUUUCCCCGCCACGCAAAAAAGAAAUGUGAAGGUAGAAUUCGGCUGAUUUGAGAAUGCUGGGGGAAGACGGAAAUGUGCGUGCUCUGCAUGCCCCAGAAAUCUUCACACCUUUUACUCCUUAUCCACUGAAUGCUAGGGAAGAAGAAGAAGAUGGAACAGAUACUUCGAGGGGAUCCAGCAGCAGGAAGGUUGCACCUCACUCUCCGGGGUAAAGCCUGGGAAGGCUAAUGGGCUUUUAGGGAAACUAUGUUCAGCAUGGCCCUGGCACCAUGGAGCUUCUAGUCUGGACAGGAAAUUUGAGGAGCUUUCUCUCUGGGGUUGGUGGUAGCCACGUGAAUUUUACCAUUCCCAGCAUGGUCCAAGAAAUACAUCCAGAAGUUCUGGAACAUCCUCCUCUCUACAGGGGGACUAAAAAUAUACUGAGAAGCCCAGCGGAUUGGGAGUUGCCUGGGGUUAGGACCAGAAGUGAGAGAUUUGAUGAGGUCCCAGAGAAAAAGACCCGGCAGCCG